RNAcentral lists this ribosomal RNA (440 nucleotides) under uncultured bacterium. RNAcentral describes it as "partial 16S ribosomal RNA". It matches the Rfam family "Bacterial small subunit ribosomal RNA", at positions 338 to 795 of the family's 1533-position model. The record is from RNAcentral.
CCUACGGGCGGCAGCAGUAGGGAAUAUUGCUCAAUGGGGGAAACCCUGAAGCAGCAACGCCGCGUGGAGGAUGAAGGUUUUCGGAUCGUAAACUCCUUUUGUUAGAGAAGAUAAUGACGGUAUCUAACGAAUAAGCACCGGCUAACUCCGUGCCAGCAGCCGCGGUAAUACGGAGGGUGCAAGCGUUACUCGGAAUCACUGGGCGUAAAGAGCGCGUAGGCGGGAUAGCAAGUCAGAUGUGAAAUCCUAUGGCUUAACCAUAGAACUGCAUUUGAAACUGUUAUUCUAGAGUAUGGGAGAGGUAGGUGGAAUUCUUGGUGUAGGAGUAAAAUCCGUAGAGAUCAAGAGGAAUACUCAUUGCGAAGGCGACCUGCUAGAACAUAACUGACGCUGAUGCGCGAAAGCGUGGGGAGCAAACAGGAUUAGAUACCCGUGUAGUC